CUAACACAUGCAAGCCGAGCGGUAGAGAUUCUUCGGAAUCUUGAGAGCGGCGCACGGGUGCGGAACACGUGUGCAACCUGCCUUUAUCUGGGGGAUAGCCUUUCGAAAGGAAGAUUAAUACCCCAUAAUAUAUUUGAUGGCAUCAUUAAAUAUUGAAAACUCCGGUGGAUAGAGAUGGGCACGCGCAAGAUUAGAUAGUUGGUGAGGUAACGGCUCACCAAGUCAAUGAUCUUUAGGGGGCCUGAGAGGGUGAUCCCCCACACUGGUACUGAGACACGGACCAGACUCCUACGGGAGGCAGCAGUGAGGAAUAUUGGACAAUGGGUGAGAGCCUGAUCCAGCCAUCCCGCGUGAAGGACGACUGCCCUAUGGGUUGUAAACUUCUUUUGUACAGGGAUAAACCUAGAUACGUGUAUCUAGCUGAAGGUACUGUNCAAUAACACCGGCUACUCCUGCC
Molecule: ribosomal RNA, 457 nt
Filed under: Bacteroidetes bacterium '5.6 MW-6'
Lineage: Bacteria; Pseudomonadati; Bacteroidota
Description: bacterial SSU rRNA
Rfam family: Bacterial small subunit ribosomal RNA
Source: RNAcentral